This 383-nucleotide ribosomal RNA is filed under the name uncultured Pseudomonas sp. Its description in RNAcentral is "bacterial SSU rRNA". It matches the Rfam family "Bacterial small subunit ribosomal RNA", at positions 1003 to 1382 of the family's 1533-position model. Lineage: Bacteria; Pseudomonadati; Pseudomonadota; Gammaproteobacteria; Pseudomonadales; Pseudomonadaceae. The record is from RNAcentral.
GAGAUGGAUUGGUGCCUUCGGGAACUCUGACACAGGUGGCUGCAUGGCUGUCGUCAGCUCGUGUCGUGAGAUGUUGGGUUAAGUCCCGUAACGAGCGCAACCCUUGUCCUUAGUUACCAGCACGUCAUGGUGGGCACUCUAAGGAGACUGCCGGUGACAAACCGGAGGAAGGUGGGGAGUGACGUCAAGUCAUCAUGGCCCUUACGGCCUGGGCUACACACGUGCUACAAUGGUCGGUACAAAGGGUUGCCAAGCCGCGAGGUGGAGCUAAUCCCAUAAAACCGAAUCGUAGUCCGGAUCGCAGUCUGCAACUCGACUGCGUGAAGUCGGAAUCGCUAGUAAUCGUGAAUCAGAAUGUCACGGUGAAUACGUUCCCGGGCCUU